UCAAUUGUAUCUAUAACACUUUUGUCAUCCACAGACAAUUGUUAUCUUGUUUUGGCCCUCUUCAGAAGGUGGUUUUUUGAUCAGCUGUUAAACUCUGACAGGUACUCUUGAAUACAAGUCUUUGAUAACUUUGGAGGUUGUAAUAUCAGAAUAAGAGAAAAACUUUUAGUACUCAUGGAGAACUGAAGUGUUCCUGAAUAGCCAGAAGAACAGGAGUUAACUACAUGGACUGAGCUAAUAGAAGACUGAAGACUCAAUUGGAGAAACUUGUUAGUUUACCAAGGCUUUGACUGGAAUGAUGUCCUUUCCUUUAAGGAAUCAAAUUUGAUCUAUAGAGCCAAUGAAAGCCCCUUGGCAAAACUGGCAUUAUACCUUUUCUAAACAGUCCCUGUACAGGGCUCCUAACAUGUGGUAAGUAAAGAAUGUCACUUUCUGACAGCCUAGGAGCCCCAAGUUUAUCUUGGAACCUGAAGAGGUGAGGAAUUUCCCCAGCUCAUAGGUAUUUGAUGGUACAAAUCCAUGGCUGGGCUUGGCUUUAAAAAAGUCUUAUCUGAGAUUCCUUCUAUGGAACAAAGUUCCAUCAAAACUAUCUUGAAAGCCUAUGUAGAAGAAUAAUUAUCCUUAUUGUGUUGUAUACAAAUAAUCAGGCCAAGUAUAAUAAAGCAAAUCAAUCCUACCAUGAUUUGUCUUUAGUAAAAAUGGGAAACUGGAGAGAGAAAAAUUAUGUUUUAAAAACUACAGUACACCUGUUGUUGGAUUCUACUCUUGCCUAAUGUUUUUCAGUUUUUAUUAUUUUCUACAAUUUGAGCUGCAUUCUAAUUUUUCUUGGCUACAAGCCUGCAAAAUAAUGUGUUCAAUUUUUUCCCCUCCUUUUCCCACAUUUUUCCUAAUUUGGAGUCA
Molecule: long non-coding RNA, 900 nt
Organism: Sapajus apella (tufted capuchin)
Lineage: Eukaryota; Metazoa; Chordata; Mammalia; Primates; Cebidae
Exons: 2
Source: RefSeq, a predicted model, not a curated record